GGAAUAUUGGUCAAUGGACGGAAGUCUGAACCAGCCAUGCCGCGUGCAGGAUGACGGCCCUACGGGUUGUAAACUGCUUUUAUAUGGGAAGAAACCCCCCGACGUGUUGGGGGUUGACGGUACCAUAGGAAUAAGGACCGGCUAACUCCGUGCCAGCAGCCGCGGUAAUACGGAGGUUCCAAGCGUUAUCCGGAUUUAUUGGGUUUAAAGGGUACGUAGGCGGAAGAUUAAGUCAGUAGUGAAAGCCUCCCGCUCAACGGGAGAAUUGCUAUUGAUACUGAUUUUCUUGAAUAUAGUUGAAGUAGGCGGAAUACGACAUGUAGCGGUGAAAUGCAUAGAUAUGUCGUGGAACACCGAUCGCGAAGGCAGCUUACUAAGCUAUUAUUGACGCUGAUGUACGAAAGCGUGGGGAGCGAACAG
This 420-nucleotide ribosomal RNA is filed under the name uncultured bacterium. RNAcentral describes it as "bacterial SSU rRNA". It matches the Rfam family "Bacterial small subunit ribosomal RNA", at positions 358 to 775 of the family's 1533-position model. The record is from RNAcentral.